Molecule: ribosomal RNA, 467 nt
Filed under: uncultured Mycoplasma sp.
Lineage: Bacteria; Bacillati; Mycoplasmatota; Mollicutes; Mycoplasmatales; Mycoplasmataceae
Description: bacterial SSU rRNA
Rfam family: Bacterial small subunit ribosomal RNA
Source: RNAcentral
UAUCCGGAAUUAUUGGGCGUAAAGCGUCCGUAGGUUGAUUGUUAAGUCUGAAGUCAAAGCCCAGUGCUCAACGCUGGCCCGCUUCAGAUACUGGCAGACUAGAGUUAUACAGAGGUAAGUGGAAUUUCAUGUGAAGCGGUGGAAUGCGUAGAUAUAUGAAAGAACACCAAUGGCGAAGGCAGCUUACUGGGUAUAUACUGACACUGAGGGACGAAAGCGUGGGGAGCAAACAGGAUUAGAUACCCUGGUAGUCCACGCCGUAAACGUUGAUCAUUAGUUUGUGGGUAAAGAUUCACAAACGCAGCUAACGCAUUAAAUGAUCCGCCUGAGUAGUAUGCUCGCAAGAGUGAAACUUAAAGGAAUUGACGGGGACCCGCACAAGCGGUGGAGCAUGUGGUUUAAUUUGACGAUACGCGUAGAACCUUACCCACUCUUGACAUCCCAGGCAAAGCUAUAGAGAUAUAGUG